GACGAACGCUGGCGGCGUGCCUAAUACAUGCAAGUAGAACGCUGAAGAGAGGAGCUUGCUCUUCUUGGAUGAGUUGCGAACGGGUGAGUAACGCGUAGGUAACCUGCCUUGUAGCGGGGGAUAACUAUUGGAAACGAUAGCUAAUACCGCAUAACAAUGGAUGACACAUGUCAUUUAUUUGAAAGGGGCAAUUGCUCCACUACAAGAUGGACCUGCGUUGUAUUAGCUAGUAGGUGAGGUAAUGGCUCACCUAGGCGACGAUACAUAGCCGACCUGAGAGGGGGGUCGGCCACACUGGGACUGAGACACGGCCCAGACUCCUACGGGAGGCAGCAGUAGGGAAUCUUCGGCAAUGGGGGCAACCCUGACCGAGCAACGCCGCGUGAGUGAAGAAGGUUUUCGGAUCGUAAAGCUCUGUUGUAAGUCAAGAACGGGUGUGAGAGUGGAAAGUUCACACUGUGACGGUAGCUUACCAGAAAGGGACGGCUAACUACGUG
RNAcentral lists this ribosomal RNA (497 nucleotides) under uncultured bacterium. Its description in RNAcentral is "partial 16S ribosomal RNA". It matches the Rfam family "Bacterial small subunit ribosomal RNA", at positions 28 to 507 of the family's 1533-position model. The record is from RNAcentral.